AUUGAACGCUGGCGGCAGGCCUAACACAUGCAAGUCGAGCGAGCGGCGGACGGGUGAGUAAUGUCUGGGAAACUGCCUGAUGGAGGGGGAUAACUACUGUAAACGGUAGCUAAUACCGCAUACCAUCAGAUGUGUCCAGAUGGGAUUAGCUAGUAGGUGGGGUAAAGGCUCACCUAGGCGACGAUCCCUAGCUGGUCUGAGAGGAUGACCAGCCAGAAUGGGACGGAGACACGGUCCAGACCCCUACGGGAGGAAGCAGUGGGGAAUAUUGCACAAUGGGCGCAAGCCUGAGGCAGCCAUGCCGCGGGUAUGAAGAAGGCCUUCGGGUUGUAAAGUACUUUCAGCGGGGAGGCGUUACCCGAAGAAGAAGCACCGGCUAACUCCGUGCCAGCCGCCGCGGUAAUUC
RNAcentral lists this ribosomal RNA (406 nucleotides) under uncultured bacterium. RNAcentral's name for it is "partial 16S ribosomal RNA". It matches the Rfam family "Bacterial small subunit ribosomal RNA", at positions 30 to 526 of the family's 1533-position model. The record is from RNAcentral.